UCUGGCGGCAUUAGCGCGGUGGUCCCACCUGACCCCAUGCCGAACUCAGAAGUGAAACGCCGUAGCGCCGAUGGUAGUGUGGGGUCUCCCCAUGCGAGAGUAGGGAACUGCCAGAC
RNAcentral lists this ribosomal RNA (116 nucleotides) under Escherichia coli. Lineage: Bacteria; Pseudomonadati; Pseudomonadota; Gammaproteobacteria; Enterobacterales; Enterobacteriaceae. The record is from RNAcentral.